CCUACGGGCGGCAGCAGUGGGGCAUAUUGGACAAUGGGGGGAACCCUGAUCCAGCGACGCCGCGUGAGUGAAGAAGUCUUUCGGUAUGUAAAGCUCUAUUAGCAGGGAAGAAAAUGACGGUACCUGACUCAGAAGCCCCGGCUAACUACGUGCCAGCAGACGCGGUAAGACGUAGGGGGCCAGCGUUAGCCGGAUUUACUGGGCGUAAAGGGGGCGUAGACGGGGCAGCAAGUCUGAUGUGAAGGGUCGGGGCCCAACCCCGGGACUGCAUUGGAGACUGUUGAACUAGAGUACAGGAGAGGUAGGCGGAAUUCCUAGUGUAGCGGUGAAAUGCGUAGAUAUUAGGAGGAACACCAGUGGCGAAGGCGGCUUACUGGACUAUAACUGACGUUGAGGCUCGAAAGCGUGGGGAGCAAACAGGAUUAGAUACCCGAGUAGUC
Molecule: ribosomal RNA, 440 nt
Filed under: uncultured bacterium
Lineage: Bacteria
Description: partial 16S ribosomal RNA
Rfam family: Bacterial small subunit ribosomal RNA
Source: RNAcentral